This 469-nucleotide ribosomal RNA is filed under the name uncultured bacterium. RNAcentral's name for it is "partial 16S ribosomal RNA". It matches the Rfam family "Bacterial small subunit ribosomal RNA", at positions 28 to 507 of the family's 1533-position model. The record is from RNAcentral.
GACGAACGCUGGCGGCGUGCUUAACACAUGCAAGUCGAACGGAAAGGCCCUGCUUGCAGGGUGCUCGAGUGGCGAACGGGUGAGUAACACGUGGGUGAUCUGCCCCUUACUUUGGGAUAAGCCUGGGAAACUGGGUCUAAUGCUGGAUAGGACCAUGCUGUAGGUGGUGUGGUGGAAAGAUUAGUUUCGGUAAGGGAUGAGCUCGCGGCCUAUCAGCUUGUUGGUGGGGUAAUGGCCUACCAAGGCGUCGACGGGUAGCCGGCCUGAGAGGGUGGACGGCCACAUUGGGACUGAGAUACGGCCCAGACUCCUACGGGAGGCAGCAGUGGGGAAUAUUGCACAAUGGGCGCAAGCCUGAUGCAGCGACGCCGCGUGGGGGAUGACGGCCUUCGGGUUGUAAACUCCUUUCGGCCAUGACGAAGCCCUUGUGGUGACGGUAGUGGUAGAAGAAGCACCGGCUAACUACGUG